GGAGGGUGCAAGCGUUAUCCGGAUUCACUGGGUUUAAAGGGAGCGCAGGCGGAUUGGUAAGUCAGUGGUGAAAGGCUUAAGCUUAACUUGGGAACUGCCAUUGAUACUAUCAGUCUUGAAUGUUGUUGAGGUUUGCGGAAUGGGUCAUGUAGCGGUGAAAUGCAUAGAUAUGACCCGGAACACCUAUUGCGAAGGCAGCAGGCUAAACAAAUAUUGACGCUGAGGCUCGAAAGCGUGGGGAUCAAACAGGAUUAGAUACCCUGGUAGUCCACGCCCUAAACUAUGAUUACUCGACAUACGCGAUACACUGUGUGUGUCUGAGCGAAAGCAUUAAGUAAUCCACCUGGGAAGUACGACCGCAAGGUUG
RNAcentral lists this ribosomal RNA (367 nucleotides) under uncultured bacterium. Its description in RNAcentral is "bacterial SSU rRNA". It matches the Rfam family "Bacterial small subunit ribosomal RNA", at positions 527 to 896 of the family's 1533-position model. The record is from RNAcentral.